RNAcentral lists this unclassified non-coding RNA (208 nucleotides) under Hevea brasiliensis (rubber tree). Lineage: Eukaryota; Viridiplantae; Streptophyta; Magnoliopsida; Malpighiales; Euphorbiaceae. The record is from RNAcentral.
AUGAAAUCCAUCUAGUCGAGCCUACAGUUAACAGACAAAAAAAAUUUGAAACUAGAAUUGGUGGGGUGCGCCAGGCCAGUACUGUAGUGCAACGCACAGGCGACGCGCGUGGAUCCCAGUAGCAAGCUACUGUAAUGGACCCACCCCCUUAAAAAAUUAAUUUAAUAUCGAGUGGACCAUUGGUCCACGUAUCAGAUAUUAAACUGAU